This is a long non-coding RNA of Strongylocentrotus purpuratus (purple sea urchin), 403 nucleotides long. RefSeq lists it as uncharacterized. The transcript is spliced from 3 exons. The record is from RefSeq and is a predicted model, not a curated record. Lineage: Eukaryota; Metazoa; Echinodermata; Echinoidea; Camarodonta; Strongylocentrotidae.
UGUAUCAAUGAUGUACGUGCUAUUACCACGAUUACGAGGAAAAGAAGUCGCUCUUCAGAAUUCACCAUAACCGUCGACCACUCAUAUUUUAUAUUUUGAGAGUUAUAUUGAUCGUCAUAAAAAAAAAUUGAAUUUUAGACCGUGUACAAAAUUUAAAGAAAGGAAGCACGUCAUAAUAUUGAAGAUGGCGAGGGUUUCGUCCAAUAAGUUGAUUUGUUGGGGUGUGACCGGUGCGAUCAUGGCCAGUAUCGGAAUCGUUCUCAUUCCCGUCACAGAUGUCGUCAUUUUAAAAGUCUUGGAACAGGAGGGAAUCAUUGUCCCCAGCGCCCUGGCCUACCCUCUAUGGGAAGAGGUCCCUAUCCCAAUUUAUUUCCAGUUCUGGUUCUGGAACCUCACCAACCCC